RNAcentral lists this long non-coding RNA (339 nucleotides) under Musa acuminata (dwarf banana). RNAcentral's name for it is "long non-coding RNA (MACU_LNC004163)". Lineage: Eukaryota; Viridiplantae; Streptophyta; Magnoliopsida; Zingiberales; Musaceae. The record is from RNAcentral.
CGAUCUACUCUAGAGGGGACAAAAAGGAUCAACGAUGGCGGAGCAGUUGACGGACGACCAGAUCGCGGAGUUCAAGGAGGCCUUCAGCCUCUUCGACAAGGAUGGAGACGGUCAGAUCCACCUACUGCCUCUUUGUCUCUCGAUGAUCCUCGUUUCUUAGCCGUUGACCUCUUGUCUUUCUCGAUCUGGCGAUCGGUGGUUUGGUUAUGAUGGGCCUCUUUCCGAUCCAUGUGGUCCGCGGAGCGCCUAGAUCGUCGGAUGUGUCUCGGGAAAUUAGGGUUUUGUUGCUCCGCUCACUGAUCUGUUUGUCUUGGUCCCGCUGAUGCCGUCCUUUGCCGC